CAAUAUCUGAUUGAGGUAUGGGGUAGC
Molecule: small RNA, 27 nt
Filed under: Bombyx mori (domestic silkworm)
Lineage: Eukaryota; Metazoa; Arthropoda; Insecta; Lepidoptera; Bombycidae
Description: ovarian small RNA-12864
Source: RNAcentral